GUGUGUGUGUGUGUGUGUGUGUGUGUGUGUGUAUAUGUAUGUAUGUGUAUAUAUAUAUGCACACACACACACACACACACACAC
This 84-nucleotide microRNA precursor is filed under the name Pelobates cultripes (western spadefoot toad). Lineage: Eukaryota; Metazoa; Chordata; Amphibia; Anura; Pelobatidae. The record is from RNAcentral.